AGUGAACGCUGGCGGUAGGCCUAACACAUGCAAGUCGAACGGCAGCACAGUAAGAGCUUGCUCUUACGGGUGGCGAGUGGCGGACGGGUGAGGAAUACAUCGGAAUCUACUUUUUCGUGGGGGAUAACGUAGGGAAACUUACGCUAAUACCGCAUACGACCUACGGGUGAAAGCAGGGGAUCUUCGGACCUUGCGCGAUUGAAUGAGCCGAUGUCGGAUUAGCUAGUUGGCGGGGUAAAGGCCCACCAAGGCGACGAUCCGUAGCUGGUCUGAGAGGAUGAUCAGCCACACUGGAACGGAGACACGGUCCAGACUCCUACGGGAGGCAGCAGUGGGGAAUAUUGGACAAUGGGCGCAAGCCUGAUCCAGCCAUACCGCGUGGGUGAAGAAGGCCUUCGGGUUGUAAAGCCCUUUUGUCGGGAAAGAAAAGCAGCAGGUUAAUACCCCGCUGUUCUGACGGUACCCAAAGAAUAAGCACCGGCUAACUUCGUG
This 492-nucleotide ribosomal RNA is filed under the name uncultured bacterium. RNAcentral describes it as "partial 16S ribosomal RNA". It matches the Rfam family "Bacterial small subunit ribosomal RNA", at positions 29 to 507 of the family's 1533-position model. The record is from RNAcentral.